UGCGUAGGCGGAAUAUUAAGUCAGUGGUGAAAUCUUUCGGCUCAACCGAGAAACUGCCAUUGAUACUGUUAAUCUUGAGUUCGGUUGAGGUAGGCGGAAUGUGUAAUGUAGCGGUGAAAUGCUUAGAUAUUACACAGAACACCAAUUGCGUAGGCAGCUUACUAGACCGACACUGACGCUGAGGCACGAAAGCGUGGGGAGCGAACAGGAUUAGAUACCCUGGUAGUCC
Molecule: ribosomal RNA, 229 nt
Filed under: uncultured bacterium
Lineage: Bacteria
Description: partial 16S ribosomal RNA
Rfam family: Bacterial small subunit ribosomal RNA
Source: RNAcentral